Molecule: ribosomal RNA, 433 nt
Filed under: uncultured bacterium
Lineage: Bacteria
Description: partial 16S ribosomal RNA
Rfam family: Bacterial small subunit ribosomal RNA
Source: RNAcentral
AACGAACGCUGGCGGCAUGCCUAACACAUGCAAGUCGAACGAGACCUUCGGGUCUAGUGGCGCCCGGGUGCGUAACGCGUGGGAACCUGCCCUUAGGUUCGGAAUAACUCCCCGAAAGGGGUGCUAAUACCGGAUAAUAUCUUCGGACCAAAGAUUUAUCGCCUUUGGAUGGGCCCGCGUUGGAUUAGCUAGUUGGUAGGGUAAAAGCCUACCAAGGCGACGAUCCAUAGCUGGUCUGAGAGGAUGAUCAGCCACACUGGGACUGAGACACGGCCCAGACUCCUACGGGAGGCAGCAGUGGGGAAUAUUGGACAAUGGGCGAAAGCCUGAUCCAGCAAUGCCGCGUGAGUGAUGAAGGCCUUAGGGUUGUAAAGCUCUUUUACCCGGGAUGAUAAUGACAGUACCGGGAGAAUAAGCACCGGCUAACUCCGUG